Molecule: ribosomal RNA, 496 nt
Filed under: uncultured bacterium
Lineage: Bacteria
Description: partial 16S ribosomal RNA
Rfam family: Bacterial small subunit ribosomal RNA
Source: RNAcentral
GAUGAACGCUGGCGGCGUGCCUAAUACAUGCAAGUCGAGCGAACGGACGAGAAGCUUGCUUCUCUGAUGUUAGCGGCGGACGGGUGAGUAACACGUGGAUAACCUACCUAUAAGACUGGGAUAACUUCGGGAAACCGGAGCUAAUACCGGAUAAUAUUUUGAACCGCAUGGUUCAAAAGUGAAAGACGGUCUUGCUGUCACUUAUAGAUGGAUCCGCGCUGCAUUAGCUAGUUGGUAAGGUAACGGCUUACCAAGGCAACGAUGCAUAGCCGACCUGGGAGGGUGAUCGGCCACACUGGAACUGAGACACGGUCCAGACUCCUACGGGAGGCAGCAGGAGGGAAUCUUCCGCAAUGGGCGAAAGCCUGACGGAGCAACGCCGCGUGAGUGAUGAAGGUCUUCGGAUCGUAAAACUCUGUUAUUAGGGAAGAACAUAUGUGUAAGUAACUGUGCACAUCUUGACGGUACCUAAUCAGAAAGCCACGGCUAACUACGU